This 68-nucleotide transfer RNA is filed under the name Mactra alta. RNAcentral's name for it is "tRNA-Leu". Lineage: Eukaryota; Metazoa; Mollusca; Bivalvia; Venerida; Mactridae. The record is from RNAcentral.
AUUGGGGUGGCAGAGAUUAUGCGUCAGGUUUAAAAGUUGAAGACGAGUAGUAGUUUACUCUUCCAAUA